AGAGUUUGAUCCUGGCUCAGAUUGAACGCUAGCGGCAUGCCUAACACAUGCAAGUCGAACGGCAGCAUGGGGAGCUUGCUCCCUGAUGGCGAGUGGCGAACGGGUGAGUAGUACGUAGGAAUCUACCUUAAAGUGGGGGAUAACUCGAGGAAACUUGAGCUAAUACCGCAUAAUCUCUUCGGAGCAAAGCGGGGGACUUU
RNAcentral lists this ribosomal RNA (200 nucleotides) under uncultured bacterium. RNAcentral's name for it is "partial 16S ribosomal RNA". It matches the Rfam family "Bacterial small subunit ribosomal RNA", at positions 8 to 212 of the family's 1533-position model. The record is from RNAcentral.